AUAAAUACUAUGCUAUUACAAGCAUUCAACUCACAUACAUUCAUAUAUUACAUUCUUAACUCUUUUUAGCUUCCAAAUACAAUCAGAUUUAACAUAAUUAUUACAACUUGGUUCUUUUUCUUUUUCACAUCCCUAAGUAGCCGACUCAGGGUACUGCUAUCUCUGGUCUCAGUGGUAGGGCGCCAUCUACAGAGCUACGCCCUUUUCUCGCGCCGCCGCGCCGCUCGCGUGUGAACCUGAAAAUCCCCAAAACCACAUGGGGUGAGAACUGUAUAAAUAUAGUUCUCAGUGGGUACGUCCACCCAAGGGAAGAGCUCGACCCACCUGGUCCAAAAGAGGCACUACAAACAUGUUAGUCCAACAGAUAUCCACAUAUAUAUUAUCAUAUGAUUUAUGGAACUAACAGUUAUCAUAUUCAUGCCUCUCAACAUGCAACAAUGCAAUAUGUGACUCAUGCAACUUAUGCAAGUAGAUCAAUUGAUUCUACUCUCUAUCACUUGCCAUUGCUGUUCUUUAUCAUUUACCAUUCUCUAUUAUUUAACAUUCUUUAUUCUUGACAUUCUUUAUUCUUUUCUAAGGUUACUUUUACCUUAGCCAACUAUGCUCAUUUGCCACUCUUUCCUAAGGUUACUUUUACCUUAGCCAACUAUGCCACUCGACUCGGUCUUGAGUCAAUCAACCGCGGAAAUGCCGCGCUCCGUCUGG
This 705-nucleotide long non-coding RNA is filed under the name Ananas comosus (pineapple). RNAcentral's name for it is "long non-coding RNA (ACOM_LNC009008)". The record is from RNAcentral. Lineage: Eukaryota; Viridiplantae; Streptophyta; Magnoliopsida; Poales; Bromeliaceae.